GCGUCGGUGGCAGAGUGGUCAAUUGCAGCGGACUGUAAAUCCGCCGGUCUUAGACCUACGCAGGUUCGAAUCCUGCCCGGCGCA
RNAcentral lists this transfer RNA (84 nucleotides) under bacterium. RNAcentral's name for it is "tRNA-Tyr". It matches the Rfam family "tRNA". Rfam says of the family: Transfer RNA (tRNA) molecules are approximately 80 nucleotides in length. Their secondary structure includes four short double-helical elements and three loops (D, anti-codon, and T loops). The record is from RNAcentral.